GCUACCCCUCAGCCAAUGGCCGGAGAGCCCGCCCGUCGCCAGCCAAUGGGAAGGCGGCACUCCCCGCCGCCAGCAAAUAGGCGCGGGGGGGCGGGCGUUGGAGUAACGCUCGGAGCGGCGGCGAUGGCCCCGGAGCGCGGUGACCGCUCGCUCCCUGGCGGUACCGAGGGUCUUCCCCGGGUUUUCCUGCAGAGCCUGCGAACUCUUUUCGAUAUCCUGGACGACCGGCGGCGGGGUUACGUGCACCUGCGGGAGAUCGAGUCGCGCUGGCGGGGAACGGAAGCCCAGGAGCUGCCUGCCGGUGUGAUGGAGGGGUUGCGGCAGGCGGCGCCGGCCAGCGGGUACCUCACCUUCGAGAGGUUCGUCCUGGGGCUGCGGGCGGCUCUGCCUGGGGCUGAGCCCCCGAUGGAGGGUGUCAGCGGCGGACGGCGGAGCGUAGAGAAGCCACCAAGCCCUCGCUGUUCCGAAGAGCGGCGGGGGAAGAACGCCGGGCAGCGGGAACCGGGGCAGGGCCAGCCCCGAGGCCGCGGUGAUGAUGCAAAGUCUGCUGGGCAGUUCCAGGGAGACAGUGGCCACCCAGAGGCUGGGGACACUCGGAGGCAUCAGAGAGGCCGUGCAGAACACCGGAGACACACCAUCACCAAUGGUGUGGACUUCAGCAUGCUGAAGUACAUGAAGGAGCUGGAACAGGAGAAGGAUGUCCUGUUGCAGGGCCUGGAGCUUAUAGACCGGGCUCGAGCGUGGUACUGCCAGCACAUCCAGCUCAUGCAGGAGCACCAGCGGCUCCUGGGGAAGAAGAGGACCAGUGCUGAUUUCGCUGAGGGUGGCCAGAGUCACCUGGGGCGCCUGGUGCCCAAGCUUCAGGAGGUGAACCGCUGCCUGGGUGACCUUCUUUCCACUGCUGGCAAGGCAGCAAACCCCUCCUCAGCCCUGAGCAGGCUGGUGCCUGUAACAUCCCCAGCCUCCACAGGCUCCCAGCAAGCCAUCAACAUGCUGAAGGAACAGAAUCGGCUUCUCACUAAGGAGGUGACUGACAAGAGUGAGCGCAUCACCCAGUUGGAGCAGGAGAAAUCUGCCCUGAUCAAGCAGCUCUUUGAGGCUCAUGCCAACAACAACCAUGAGAUGAGCCAGCUGGACUCCACCUUCAUCUAGCACAUGCCUCCCCCACCCCAUCCCCAAACUUCCUCGGGGUUUUCAAGGGAUUCUUGCUCCAAACUAAUCACACCCACUGCUCCAGCCCAUCUACUGCUGCCAGCCCUGAAGUCCCUGACUGUCCUGUCUCUCAGAAUGCAGGGGGAGCUGAAGCUGCAAUCUGGUGAGCAUACAAAGAGCCCGGGGGGCUCUGCACCUGGAUAUGUUUCUAUGUCCUUUCCCAUCACCUCUGGGCUUCCCAGGGACUGGGGAUGCCCUGUCCCCUGCUGUGGGGCAGGGUCUUAAACCCACCUGCACCCCUUCCAAGUGCUGUAGCUUCAUCUGUCUAUUCCUCCAGAAGCUGUGCUGGGGCUCACACUGCUAAGGCAGUGCUGGUGCAAUUCACAACCUCUUACUUGCUUUUAAGUAACCUUUCUCAGAGCUGCCCCAUAGAGGUGGCAACACUGGCUGGUGUUCUGCAGUAGCUCCUUUCAGGGUCAGUCACAGGGGACCUCAGUGGCAUGGCAUGUGUAGCAAGUGUCCCUCUGCCCUAUACUGAGAUGGCAACUCAGUGAACCUGUGCUGACUAGGGAACCCUCCUUCCAUCGGCUGUGGGGUGAAACCUGCACCCUGCAGAGGUUGAGCCUUCCCUGCUGGGAGCGGAGCCAAAAGGGAGACCCCAGUUCACUUACUGGCACCUGGUGGAGGGAUCUCUGCCAUGGCCUGUUCCAGGUGCUGCUUAGGGCAGCCACUAGUUCCAGAUGGGGCAGGAAGAGGGUUGCUAAUUGCCCUUGGUUCCCAUUUCAUGCCUUUGCUUGGGUGUGGAGCCCAUGAGGGCUUCCAAAGGAAAAAGAGAGUCACAGUUCCCGCUCCAGGCUGCUCCAUGCAGAGCCACGGCAGCUCUCUCUGUCUCCCAGCCCUUGCCAGCAGCACUGGCCCCCACCCUGCUUUCUGUGAGACUGCUGCAGGUUGCAGGGUAGCUCUGGCAGUGCCAGGGCCCACUGGGACCAAGUUUCUCCUGGAAACUGCAGGGCUCACCUCAGGCUGUCACUCUGGCCUGCCCACACUGUUUCUAGGUCCCUGAUGAGCCUGACCCUCCCCUGCGGGUCUGUGCUGUGUCCACUUUGGUGCACUUAACUGCGGGGGCUGGCUCAGGGGCCAUGUGACCUGCAUUUGAGGCCAGGUCUGAUAGUGAUGUGUAUGCUGGGACAUGUAGGUGAACACCUUCCAUUCUCUUCAGGCCUUUUCCUGCUGGAACUGGGUUUGCAUAGAUCUGUGGUGCCUACAGGGCCCUGAUAACUGCUGGAGCCCACUGUGAGACAUAAACUUUGAAGAAUUCAAGAUUUUAGAGAAACUGAGGCCUUAAUUAAAAAUAAGCAUUGCUUAAUCUAAUUUAAAAAAAAAAUAAAUAGACGGGCCUUACUAAAAUUAAAGGUAGUUAGAGAGGCUUUGCUAAAAUUAGAGGUUAAUCAUUGGCUAAUAACUGUCUGUCAACUUUAUGCUUGUUCAGCUGGGCUUAUAAGGAGAAACAAAGAGUCUGGUAAAGAACUUCAAGAACAUAAGACAAUUGCAAAUCAGAAACCCAUUGAAGACAUGAAACUAGGAGCCCAGCCAAGGGUCCGUUUCUCACUUUGCAUUGAAAAGGUAGAAAGGUCAGAACGAGGAAGAGCCAUAUCCCUUCCCUCCCUUUUGUGACCCCUGCUCAUGAUAAGACCACCGACCCAUUUCAAAGAACAAACUACACAUGCUUAAUUGUUUUUUUUUAAAUUAGCAUAAGAAGCAGAGAGUGGGUGGCAACUGGGUUAUGAAUAUGUGUUUGUAUUUAAUAUUUUUGUAAAUAAAAAGCCUGUAUUCACCUGUAUUUGGGGCCGUGUGUAUUAAGGGGAGACCCAGCACUGGUCCAGCACUGGCCCAGAGUUGCUAAUAAACAUACACUUUUUAACCCUAAAAUGGUUAAAGAGUCUUUGUCCGUCUCAAUUGGAUAUUGAUACUAGAUCGUAUCCAUAUUUUGGUAAAUCAGUUGUGUCUGUUAGACAAAGCAGCAUGUUAAUCCCAGUGCAAGGUGCUGCCUUCUCUGCAAAUCCCCUCAAUCAGAGUCCAUUGCAACACAGCAGACUGCAAAGCCCUGGUGUCAUGAUUCCCAUGCCACAGGCACUUCAGUUUGCUCAAGGGGCUUUGGGUAAUCACGUGCUGGCACCUCCAGAGCCCCCACCCUGGUUUGAUGCUCAUGAUGCUGAGAGGAGUGUCAGGGAGCAAUCCUGCUGGAGAAGGGUGAUGGCCAGGAAAGGUGAUGAAUCACUGUCCAGGUGCUCAGGUUGUGAGACUACUUGUGUCAUGGACAUCUUCCUGUGCCACAGACACCUCCUUGUGCCACAUGCCAGGGAUGAUACCCUUUAGCUCUGACUUGGCUUUGAAGGAGGAGGAUGGAAGCUAUUUGGGGCUCAAGCCUUCCCACCCACGUAGCCCUUGCUGUGCUCCCCUUGCCAUCAGAUUCCCUGUCCAGGUCAGACUUCAUCCAGGUGUCUUCAGCACCCUUGUCCUACUUCUGGCUUCUCACUCCAUUCUCGCCAGUUCUUUUUUCCUUGGAGACUCAGCCUUGCCAGCUGCCAGGUAAAUCACAACAGCCUCUGGAGACCCUCAGGGGGCUUUUCUCCACCAAGGUCCUGCUCCAGUUGCUCUCUGUGUUGCAGCUGACCUGUUCACAGCCUGAUUUUCUUUAACUCAUUUCUUUUCAUUAAUUUCCCAGACCCAUCCUAUCUGUUUGAGAUCUUUGCUUGACUUAGCUGUGUUUGACUGAACAGGUUCACACCUGCUCAGGAUACGGGAAGAAAGAACCAAGGCCAAGGGCAACAGCAGUCACAGCUGUGCCACAGCCUGAAAUUCACCGGCCUGUCACCUUGUUCAGGGAACGACUGUAAAACUGUAUUUCUUUGGGGAACAUAUUGGUUGUCUGUGGGAAAUCCAGUCUACCACAAAGUAGAUGGAGGAGUCCUUCAACUUUAUUCAAAUAAAGGGGAAGAGUCUACUGCGCCACACCCCUGUGGGAUCUCUCUCGAGGUAUCACAGGACGUAGCCUCCUUUUCUCCUAAGCUACCGGCUCCUGUUCACUGGGGUUGUUCUGCCUGGUAUAACUAAUCCAACCUGUUGCCAUUUUUAUUACUUUGCAGAAGAAAAUACCUACACACAGAGUGCCAUGGGCUGUAGAAGCAGCCAGGGGGAUGCUGUGCAGCCAGACGAACCUGUUCUGGUGGAUAGCUGGAUUUAGGGAGCGGGAGCAUAAUUGCCAGGAGCAGCAUGAUUUGCUUUGGUUCUUCUAGCAUCCUACGGGUUUGAGAUUCCACAGCUCUGAGACAGGAUUCCUUCAAGGCAAGGCAGCAAGUUCUGCAGGAAAAGAGUUGAUUUAUAUGUUGGAUAUGACAGAGCCUUUUCUGAUGGGUAAGUUAUGUAGGCAUCACGUGCUUUGAAAGACCCGCACUCAUUUGCAUAUGGGGCAGGCAGGGCAUGCAACCACAACAGGGAGAGAUUUCAUGUAAAGGGGAGCAGAGGGAGAAGUUUCAAACCCCCAAGGCUCUUCUGAGCAGGAGCUUUGUCAAGUAACACUUUGUCAAGUAAUAAAAUAAGAAACAGAAUGUGAAACAGAAGUUUUGACAACUCCCAGGGAUUCCUCCUGACCUGAUGGUCACAUCUGGAUGGGGUCUAGCUUCCCUGACUCCAGUCACAUGCAGGGAGAUGGCUGUGUCUGAGCUGCUGUGUGUUUUCUCAUGUUCUCCUACCCAGCUUGGCUCUGACUGCAGGCAGGAUGGCUAUUGUGAGUAAGGGAGAAUCACAGCCUGUGGGUGAGGAUUUUACUAUGCUCAUGAGCACAAAGUUUAAACAAAGUUGUUCUUUGGCAUUUUAGUUCGAUUUAUAGUGUCCUCCUGCUCUUUGCUUCUCAGUUCAUGGCUCUUGGUUCCUGCAGAACCCUUCAUCAUUCCUUCAUCUUUCAUGAUUUCUUUUAUUUGUCCUUGAAUUUGUCCUGUACUACUUCAGUAAUUCCAUGCAGUUUUAACUCUUAUCCUUCUCAUUGGUACUUCAUUUAAAAAAUGGGGAACUGGAUUUGUGAGCAGGUGGCUUGAGUCUGGGGUACAGCUGGGACUAUCCAACUCCUUCUUCGCUGAGGGAACCCUGAGACCUUGCAAUGUUUCCAAGUGUGAAUGUAAGACGGGGCACUGAGACCUCCUGGCACAGGUCGCACCAGGACCCAAGGGUCCCAUCAGACACACCUCAUGCCAGACACAGGACCAUGGCCACUGUACAGCAGAGGUUUGGCCACAGGGUCCAAUUUUCAAGAAGAGCAAGAAGAAGACUACAGUCCUGUUCAGUGUCACUUCAGCGCAUGGUAAAGCUAUGGAGAAGCUUAUUCUGGGAGUUACUGAAAAACACCUGAAAGACAACAUAGUCACUGGUCACAGUCAGCAUGGCUUCAUGAAAUUGCUUAUCAAACCUAAUUUCCUUUAUGGCAAGGUAGCCACCUGGUUGAUCAAGGAAAGCCAGUUGAUGUAAUCUUUUUGGAUUUCAGUAAAGUUUUUGAUACUGUC
Molecule: RNA transcript, 5708 nt
Organism: Parus major (Great Tit)
Lineage: Eukaryota; Metazoa; Chordata; Aves; Passeriformes; Paridae
Gene: SAPCD2
Gene name: suppressor APC domain containing 2
Exons: 7
Source: RefSeq, a predicted model, not a curated record